UACAGAGGUCUCAAGCGUUGUUCGGAUUCAUUGGGCGUAAAGGGUGCGUAGGUGGCGCCAUAAGUCAGGUGUGAAAUCUCGGGGCUCAACCCCGAAACUGCACUUGAUACUGUGGUGCUCGAGUACUGGAGAGGAGAUUGGAAUUUACGGUGUAGCAGUGAAAUGCGUAGAUAUCGGGAGGAACACCGGUGGCGAAGGCGGUUCUCUGGGCCUUACCUGACGCUGAGGAGCGAAAGCGUGGGGAGCGAACAGG
This 253-nucleotide ribosomal RNA is filed under the name uncultured bacterium. Its description in RNAcentral is "partial 16S ribosomal RNA". It matches the Rfam family "Bacterial small subunit ribosomal RNA", at positions 524 to 776 of the family's 1533-position model. The record is from RNAcentral.